UAUACGUAUUUUUGAUGAAAAUGUGGUAUUGAACUCGAAUUAAAAACUUAAAACCAGAUGCGCAUUUUUCUAGUAUCAAAACCAGUUAUCAAUACUCCGGCUAUUUACUACAAUACCAGAUGUACCAGCUGUGCUAGGACAAUACAAAAAUAAGACAAAUAGAAUACGUAUUGCAUACGUCUUGUACCGGCUGGGGGGAACCCAUGAUAAAUUUUCAUUGCGAGAUGACGAUACUGAUUUCGAUCCAAAUUAUGAAUAAGAAAGUCCAGAUUCUGAAGACUCUAACUCAAGUGGACAUCAAAGAGACUCAAGUGGCCUUCAAAGAAAUGAAGAUGAUGAGCUCGGAGAUGACCCAGACAACCCACCACCAAAAAGAGCGAAACAUCCUGGACGUAAAAAAACGAGAAGAUAAACGUAUGGAAAAGAAACAUUUCUCAUAAAAAACGCAACAAAGGUGAAUCUUAUAUCGAUAGAAAAGGUAUCCACCAUGAAAAGAAGCAAGUAAGAGAAUGUAUUCAUAAUUGUAAGUUUAAGUGCAAUGACAGAGUCAGUGAAGAAGAAAGGCAAAACAUUUUCAAACAAUAUUGGGAACUUGGAAGCUGGGAGCUCCAAUCUGCCUAAAUUCAUCAAUCAAAGUAGAAAAACCUCGAAGGAAUAAAAAAACCGGACCACGAUCAAAAAUUUUGAGUUGCCAAUUUUUUUUCCUUCCAAAAAAUUCUUUCUCUGUACUCUUGAUGUAACAAACAAACGAGUAACAAAUGUAAUUGAUAAGAAGAAGAAUUCUACCACUGGAAUUGCUCCUUGGGACAAAAGAGGACACAAAGUUCCUGGAAAUAAGAUUUGUGAAGAAAAAAUUGAAUUUGUGAAAGAGCAUAUUCGUACUUUUCCAAAAUACACAAGCCAUUACUCUCGCACUCAUGCUCUAAAUUGAAAGUACCUAAGUUCCAAUUUGAACAUCAAAAGGUUGUACAACCUCUACAAAGAAAGCUGCAUUGAACAUGCAGUAGAGGCAGUGAAAGAAAGCUACCAUCGUAAUUUCUUUAAUAUUGAAUUUAACCUGAGCUUUCAUAAACCGCAAACUGACCCUUGCAUCACAUGUGACAGACUUCAGAACACGAUUGAUAAUGGGCUGCCAGAUGAACAAAACGAUGCUGUUAUACAAAAGGAGUUACAUCUGCGGAAAGCAGAUUUGGCAAGGCAACAAAUAACGGACGCUAAAAAAGCUGUUAAGGGUGAUGCUAGUCAAUUAGUGAUUUGUUUUGACCUGCAAAAGAUGUUACCGUCUCCAGUUUUGACU
Molecule: non-coding RNA, 1297 nt
Organism: Hydra vulgaris (swiftwater hydra)
Lineage: Eukaryota; Metazoa; Cnidaria; Hydrozoa; Anthoathecata; Hydridae
Source: RefSeq, a predicted model, not a curated record